This 1489-nucleotide ribosomal RNA is filed under the name Staphylococcus aureus. Its description in RNAcentral is "partial 23S ribosomal RNA". It matches the Rfam family "Bacterial large subunit ribosomal RNA", at positions 1286 to 2771 of the family's 2925-position model. The record is from RNAcentral. Lineage: Bacteria; Bacillati; Bacillota; Bacilli; Caryophanales; Staphylococcaceae.
AAGUGAGAAUGCCGGUGUGAGUAGCGAAAGACGGGUGAGAAUCCCGUCCACCGAUUGACUAAGGUUUCCAGAGGAAGGCUCGUCCGCUCUGGGUUAGUCGGGUCCUAAGCUGAGGCCGACAGGCGUAGGCGAUGGAUAACAGGUUGAUAUUCCUGUACCACCUAUAAUCGUUUUAAUCGAUGGGGGGACGCAGUAGGAUAGGCGAAGCGUGCGAUUGGAUUGCACGUCUAAGCAGUAAGGCUGAGUAUUAGGCAAAUCCGGUACUCGUUAAGGCUGAGCUGUGAUGGGGAGAAGACAUUGUGUCUUCGAGUCGUUGAUUUCACACUGCCGAGAAAAGCCUCUAGAUAGAAAAUAGGUGCCCGUACCGCAAACCGACACAGGUAGUCAAGAUGAGAAUUCUAAGGUGAGCGAGCGAACUCUCGUUAAGGAACUCGGCAAAAUGACCCCGUAACUUCGGGAGAAGGGGUGCUCUUUAGGGUUAACGCCCAGAAGAGCCGCAGUGAAUAGGCCCAAGCGACUGUUUAUCAAAAACACAGGUCUCUGCUAAACCGUAAGGUGAUGUAUAGGGGCUGACGCCUGCCCGGUGCUGGAAGGUUAAGAGGAGUGGUUAGCUUCUGCGAAGCUACGAAUCGAAGCCCCAGUAAACGGCGGCCGUAACUAUAACGGUCCUAAGGUAGCGAAAUUCCUUGUCGGGUAAGUUCCGACCCGCACGAAAGGCGUAACGAUUUGGGCACUGUCUCAACGAGAGACUCGGUGAAAUCAUAGUACCUGUGAAGAUGCAGGUUACCCGCGACAGGACGGAAAGACCCCGUGGAGCUUUACUGUAGCCUGAUAUUGAAAUUCGGCACAGCUUGUACAGGAUAGGUAGGAGCCUUUGAAACGUGAGCGCUAGCUUACGUGGAGGCGCUGGUGGGAUACUACCCUAGCUGUGUUGGCUUUCUAACCCGCACCACUUAUCGUGGUGGGAGACAGUGUCAGGCGGGCAGUUUGACUGGGGCGGUCGCCUCCUAAAAGGUAACGGAGGCGCUCAAAGGUUCCCUCAGAAUGGUUGGAAAUCAUUCAUAGAGUGUAAAGGCAUAAGGGAGCUUGACUGCGAGACCUACAAGUCGAGCAGGGUCGAAAGACGGACUUAGUGAUCCGGUGGUUCCGCAUGGAAGGGCCAUCGCUCAACGGAUAAAAGCUACCCCGGGGAUAACAGGCUUAUCUCCCCCAAGAGUUCACAUCGACGGGGAGGUUUGGCACCUCGAUGUCGGCUCAUCGCAUCCUGGGGCUGUAGUCGGUCCCAAGGGUUGGGCUGUUCGCCCAUUAAAGCGGUACGCGAGCUGGGUUCAGAACGUCGUGAGACAGUUCGGUCCCUAUCCGUCGUGGGCGUAGGAAAUUUGAGAGGAGCUGUCCUUAGUACGAGAGGACCGGGAUGGACAUACCUCUGGUGUACCAGUUGUCGUGCCAACGGCAUAGCUGGGUAGCUAUGUGUGGACGGGAUAAGUGC